GUCGGGAGACUGAACCAGCCAAGCCGCGUGAGGGAUGGAGGUACAGAGUAUCGUAAACCUCUUUGUCAGGGAACAAAGGGCGCCACGUGUGGCGCUAUGAGGGUACCUGAAGAAAAAGCAUCGGCUAACUCCGUGCC
RNAcentral lists this ribosomal RNA (137 nucleotides) under uncultured bacterium. RNAcentral describes it as "partial 16S ribosomal RNA". It matches the Rfam family "Bacterial small subunit ribosomal RNA", at positions 374 to 509 of the family's 1533-position model. The record is from RNAcentral.